GAUUCUAACAUUCGUGGGCAUUUCUGAUUAGCUAUUAUUUUGGACGACUGCGCGUCCACGGGACUGGUACACCUUUAUAUUUACAUCAUGAGUGCAUCCGAAUAGGGAAUCUGAACGCAGCCGAGUAUAUAGAGUGUGUUUGCAUAUUGUGAAAUUUUAUAUUCUGAUCUUUAUAAGAGUGCCGAUAUUUAGGGCCAAUUGUUCCAAUCUCUUGGUAAGCUAUCUAACAAUUGCCCCUUAAGCCCGGCCGACCCGACUACGACUGCCGACUCUCAAUGGAUCUCAAUGGACUUCAAUUACAGUGAGGCGCUGACUCGGCGCCAUUGAAAGGCAGCAGUCGGGUCGGCCUAUGCCAUUGAAAGUCGGUAGUCUGAUACGGGUUUUAGGUAUUGUGAAUGUGGAGUGUCAUUGAUUAUUUCUGAAUAUUUUUUUAUCAAAACGAAACAAAAUAUUGGAAGCAACAAAGAUAAGAAGAAAAAGUAGAACUAGCAAAUAUCGGUAAAUGGACAUAUGAAGAGCUCAGAGAGAGAGAGAGAGAGGUUCUUUAAACAAUGGCAUUACCAACAUCAACCUCUAAUUUAGCAAAAUUGUCGUGGGAACCGCAUCGACUUUCACAUUCUAAGCCAUCUUUCGAUAGCCAUGAGAUAGCCCUCGCAAGUUGUAAGGACUUAUGGCACAAAUUCAUUAUCUUUGAUGGUGCUUUGCAUAGUCAGACCGAUGUCUUACACGCUGUGAUAACUGCUUGUGAACCAGAGAUCCUGAUACCGAUUAUGUAUACCAUUGAGGAUAAAAAUAAGAGCACAUUCCUAGCAAAAUGCAGUGGUACUACCAUUGAAAAUGUAGUAAAGCAAGGAUUAUGCAUAACAUUGUCAGGUGGUCAGGAGUUACGCAUGGAUAUUGUAUUGGGAUAUUUCAACGUACAUAAAUUACAAUUAAAUACAAAUCAAAUUAUUGUACAAGCCCUGCAAAACAGAUAUGAACCACUAAGAAAAAUAUUCAACCUCGACGACUUUGAGAAUGAGAAGGCAUUAGGUUCAAUAUUCUGUCCCAUUUCUAUACCAAAGAUAUUGCACUUUGUUCUGCUUUGUAGCAAAAUGGGAAUUAUGGGUAACAAUCGAGAGUCCAGGUUGCCCGUGCGCGAAUUAAGUCUGAAAAACAACAAAAUUACAGCUAUCAUACUGUUCGACAAGUUUUUUAGCUACCACUUGACCAAACUGGACUUGAGGCAUAACCAGAUUUUGGAUGUAGAAUACUUGCGUUAUUUCUGUGAAUUCAAGAUAAGCGAACUCUGGCUGGAUGGGAAUCCAUUGUGUGCGAAGUACAAGACCUCCCAGGAGUACAUAAACGCUGUGAAGAAUGUUUUCCCACACCUACAGAAGCUAGACGGGAUUGUCAUAGGAAUGGAAAAAAAAUUCGUACCUUGCGUACAAAGUAAUUACCUCGGUAACGGCUCGAAAAUCUCUUUGAUCAAACAGUUCGUCAGGCACUUUUUUACGUUGUACGAUCAAGACGACAGAAUAGUAAUGAAUGGUUUGUACGACAAGAACGCGGUUUAUUCCAUGACGUUAAGUAACACGACGAACCACACCUACAAGGAGAUCAUCAAAACGUUCUCCACGAAUAGAAAUUUAUUAAAAUUUGUCGACUAUGCCAAGUGUCAUGAAUUCUUGCUAUGUGGACCUGAAAAGAUAAUCACCGCACUCCAGCGGCAGCCUCCGACGUUACACAACUUUAAGACUUUUUAUAUAGACCUGUUGAACGAGAGUGACAAUCAUAUAGUCAUUUCAGUGCAAGGAUUAUUUUCAUAUCGAACGUUAAAUUGCUCGCCCAUGUUGUUCAAUCGAACUUUCAUCAUCAUACGAAAGGAGGACAAUGAAUAUUGUAUCACUAAUGAUCAAUAUUAUAUCGAUAGUACACCUGCAAGUAACAUUAGUGAUGUAAAAUUUGAAUUCAAAGCUCCUAAAUUUUCUCCGACGGUACUUAGUAUGUCUGAGAAGGAGCAACUACUGCGAUUUUUACGUGAACUCACUACAAUGAAUAUUCGAUAUUGCUACAAGUACCUUCAGGAAGCAGAAUGGGAUAUAAGAAACGCGAUCACUAUGUUCAUGCAGAACUAUGCAGUCAAUGAUGUAUCUCCGGAAGCUUUUCAAUAAAUUUAUAUUCAAUUCAAGUAAACCCAUGACUUGCGUAAAGAGAUUCAAAUGGUGGCCGGCUCGAAAUUGACCGAAGUCAAGAUAACAUCUUCCCAUCAAAGAAGACGCUAACAUUGGCAAUUGUCGUAGGACUAAUAUGGGAUGUACUGCAGCCAUCUUCCUAGCACAGAGUUCGAAUUCUUGAGAUUUGGAGUUCCAGGACUUCUGCCUGGGCGUUGCUGCCAAAGCUGUCAAUAAGGAAUGACUCAUGCAAUCCAGUACUGAGCCCACCCAGUCUGUUAUCUUUGCUCCAUUGACGAAUUUGUUCGUUUGAUAACGACGUUGCCGAGGUCGUCGGGUCUUCGUCAUCUACUGUGGAUGGACUUUGACAGUCUCGUGGCACCAAUAUCGGAAAUUCUGACUGGAGCGCAGACUUUGGUGGAUGUCUUGUGCCGAAACCAGUCGCUAUGUUGUCAACGAAACCUUUGCAUUCUUCAUGAUCGAUCCAAAUACGUUCCGCGGCAGCGUCCUCCACAUACAGCUGCAAAGAUAGAUUGACAUAAACAUCAUAGAAACAGAAUAACAUAAGAUAUUUGCAGCUAGUACUGGUACUAAUGGAUUUCCCUUGCUCUUAAAAUUAUAACUUUGAUCUCUCUUCAAUAAAGACGACAAAGCAUGUAAUAUACAAUCAUUUGAGAAAAUA
Odontomachus brunneus is the source of this 2835-nucleotide RNA transcript. It is a transcript of the gene named nuclear RNA export factor 1-like, with no coding region annotated. The record is from RefSeq and is a predicted model, not a curated record. The transcript is spliced from 5 exons. Lineage: Eukaryota; Metazoa; Arthropoda; Insecta; Hymenoptera; Formicidae.